This 250-nucleotide ribosomal RNA is filed under the name uncultured Oscillospiraceae bacterium. RNAcentral's name for it is "partial 16S ribosomal RNA". It matches the Rfam family "Bacterial small subunit ribosomal RNA", at positions 91 to 339 of the family's 1533-position model. The record is from RNAcentral. Lineage: Bacteria; Bacillati; Bacillota; Clostridia; Eubacteriales; Oscillospiraceae.
UUUAGUGGCGGACUGGUGAGUAACGCGUAAGGAACCUACCUUUUAGAGGGGAAUAACAAUGAGAAAUCAUUGCUAAUACCGCAUAUGCCAUGAGUGUUGCAUGACACAAGUGGGAAAGGAGCAAUUCGCUAGAAGAUGGCCUUGCGUCUGAUUAGAUAGUUGGUGGGGUAACGGCCUACCAAGUCGACGAUCAGUAGCCGGACUGAGAGGUUGAACGGCCACAUUGGGACUGAGAUACGGCCCAGACUCC